CCUACGGGUGGCAGCAGUGGGGAAUAUUGCACAAUGGGGGAAACCCUGAUCCAGCGACGCCGCGUGCGUGAAGAAGUAAUUCGUUAUGUAAAGCUCUAUCAGCAGGGAAGCAAAUGACGGUACCUGAGUAAGCAGCCCCGGCUCACUCCGUGCCAGCAGCCGCGGGAAUACGUAGGGGGCAAGCGUUAUCCGGAUUUACUGGGUGUAAAGGGAGCGUAGACGGCAGGGCAAGUCCGGAGUGAAAGGCGGGGUGUCAACCCCCGGACUGCUGUGGAAACUGUACGGCUGGAGAGCAGGAGAGGUAAGUGGAAUGCGUAGUGUAGCGGUGAAAUGCGUAGAUAUUAGGAGGAACACCGGUUGCGAAGGCGGCUUACUGGACUGUAACUGACGUUGAGGCUCGAAAGCGUGGGGAGCGAACAGGAUUAGAUACCCCGGUAGUC
This 440-nucleotide ribosomal RNA is filed under the name uncultured bacterium. RNAcentral describes it as "partial 16S ribosomal RNA". It matches the Rfam family "Bacterial small subunit ribosomal RNA", at positions 338 to 795 of the family's 1533-position model. The record is from RNAcentral.